GGGGUUUGUUUUUAUUGAAGUACAUCCUUCAUUAUAUUAAAUAUGGAUCGAUGGUUUGUAUUGUGCACAGCUGUAGAGUUACAACAAAAUUAGUUCUUUUCCUAAGUGGCACUGUGUUGGACUUCCUCAGCCGAGUUAGAGUGUCACUUACUUGUUAAAUGCGCACCAAGGCCACUUUGCUUUCAAAACCUAACAUCUGUAGCAGUUGAAAAUAUAAUGACACAAAAAAUAGUAUCAUUAAGACUCUUACCAUUAUAUUGCUUAUAAAGAAGUGUACAUGUAUAAAACUGUUCCUUCAUCAAAACAUCAUUGACUAAAAGAUCAUACUUAACAAGUGAUUAAAUGAAUGAUGAUCAAAUAAAUACAGUAUGAGUAAAUGCAGACAAACAUAUAUCGCAUUGUAGCUGACUGGUAUAACUAAGUAAAAUGAAGACAUACUGAGUGAACCCAUAGCGGUCAGGGUACACACCUUGAGAUUCUCCAUAAGGAAGACUAGACUCUGUGUAAAAUUAGAUGACAAAGCUCAUUCUCUGGUAACCCAUAACAAAAGUAUUAAUAUAUAUCUUUACAUUAAUCAAAUUGCUACAGUUAUCAAAGACACACUGUAGAAGUAUUGGCAUCUCAGUAUCAUUAUAGAAUGGACAAAUGCUAAUGCUAAAUUGAUUUUUUUCUGUUGAGUGGGAACUUGUAUGGCUCUGGGUGCACCUCCUCCACCUAAUGUCCAAGAGUCCAUGGUUGAUUAAAUACUAAAUAUGAUUCUACUUAUUUACAGUUUCUGGGGAGACAUUUCAGGCUAAGAAUAAACUCUUACUUAGGUACAGGAAGAUACAACCUUGUCUUAUUUGAAUAUGUAUUAAGUACUUGAAAAGUUUUGGACUGAAAACAAGUGAAUUAGAUAAGGCCAUAUGAUAAUGGAGUUGUUACACUUUUGUACUAUUUUCUACCAUUAUCUGAAAUACUUUAAAUAUCUCUCUUCACAUUUGGAGCAUUAUUGUUCUCUUCUUGCACACAUGUCCAUAUUAUUCAUAUAAGCUCUCAUUGUCACUUCACUCUCUUCCAUUCUCUCAAGGACCUGCUACUCUAUGUCUAUGUUGACUUCCUCUUGUUACAAGUAUUAAAUUUUUCUUUAUUGCCAGUCAUCCAUAUGCAUACAAAUAUCUUUAAAUCUUUCCAUUCACACUUUCAACCGUGCCUCAGAUAAUGCUUGGAUUUUCAGGCUCUGUCACCUUAGUCAUGUGAAUAUAUGUACAAUGCCCUCUAAUUUUGGAGGCAUUGCACAUGUAAAAGAUGGACCUAAAGCUAACCAAGCAAUCAUAAGACCUAAAAGCAUUGCUGGGCUUCCAAAGAGGAACAACAAGCACCAGCAACCAAUCAGUGGAGUGGUCGUGCAGUGCCACGCCUUAUAUAAUCCCUGCUCUGCCUGCCAACACCAUCCUCACAUCAACCACCAAGAGAGAUACAAUCCUACCAGCUUUUGAAAGGUGAGAGUCAGACACACCUAAUGUCCUCAUGGUGUCGGCCAGCUGGAAGAGGUAGUCCUUGUUGGAGCCGCUGGGACCCUCGGCAGAGGCUAUGAUUUGGGCAAUGCUCUCUUCCCCCUUCUCGUUGUGUCCCACAAAGAAUGGGUUGGACUCUGUACCUGCACAACAUACAACAGUAGAAGAGCAAACUCAAUACAAGUUCCUGAUGGUGAAUAAAGAAAUGGUACAUGGUCAGUUGCCAAGGCUGGAUGGAAGGGUCUUGGGGGUGGAAAGUGACAGGCGUUCGCUGAUAACCAUCCUUCUCCCUGUGGUCCAGGUGGGCCAUCACCCUCUCUUGGUCCUCGGGCCCAAUCUUGUAAGCAAUGCCCCAC
Molecule: long non-coding RNA, 1852 nt
Organism: Eriocheir sinensis (Chinese mitten crab)
Lineage: Eukaryota; Metazoa; Arthropoda; Malacostraca; Decapoda; Varunidae
Exons: 3
Source: RefSeq, a predicted model, not a curated record